UGAGGAAUAUUUGUCAAUGGGCGAGAGCCUGAACCAGCCAAGUAGCGUGCAGGAUGACGGCCCUAUGGGUUUUAAACUUCUUUUAUAUGGGAAUAAAGUGAGGGACGUGUCCCUUAUUGCAUGUACCAUACGAAUAAGGACCGGCUAAUUACGUGCCAGCAGCCGCGGUAAUACGUAAGGUCCGAGCGUUGUCCGGAAUCAUUGGGCGUAAAGGGUACGUAGGCGGGUAAGCAAGUUAGAAGUGAAAUCCUGUAGCUCAACUACAGUAAGCUUUUAAAACUGCUCAUCUUGAGAUAUGGAAGGGAAAGUGGAAUUCCUAGUGUAGCGGUGAAAUGCGCAGAUAGUAGGAGGAAUACCGGUGGCGAAGGCGACUUUCUGGCCAUAAUCUGACGCUGGGGUACGAAAGCGUGGGUAGCAAACAGG
RNAcentral lists this ribosomal RNA (423 nucleotides) under Verrucomicrobiota bacterium. Its description in RNAcentral is "Verrucomicrobia bacterium partial 16S ribosomal RNA". It matches the Rfam family "Bacterial small subunit ribosomal RNA", at positions 355 to 776 of the family's 1533-position model. The record is from RNAcentral. Lineage: Bacteria; Pseudomonadati; Verrucomicrobiota.